GGCCGGGUUUUAGUAUAUACGAGUUUUUUUUUGAAAUAUCUAAAAGGAGGUUAUUGCUCCUUUUAGAUAUUUUCAAUCUCGGC
Molecule: unclassified non-coding RNA, 83 nt
Filed under: Schrenkia vaginata
Lineage: Eukaryota; Viridiplantae; Streptophyta; Magnoliopsida; Apiales; Apiaceae
Description: psbA-trnH intergenic spacer
Source: RNAcentral